UUUUCGAAGGCGCUAUCGCGAACUUUUGCAUGACAAAGGUAAAAAGCACCGUCAAAGUGUGGUCAAAGUGAGUGACAUCGACAUGUGCCACUGGACAAAAUCCAGAUACCAAUCCAAUGGACCGAUAGAGCGUGCGGAUGGGCGAACGUCAAUGUGCAUCAUCAAAAACAAAGCAUAGUGCUGGCGCUUAUUAUGAUGUCAUCUCCUGUGAUGCAAACUGUUAUGAAAAUACCGGAGCAAAACCGAACGAGGUCCCCAUUUUCCCUGGAUUCACAUCAUGCCACAGCAGAGGAGACCAAUGAAAAACAGUUCUUCAGGGCUGUUUCUGCAAAAGACAGUGCUAAAGGAGGCUGGAGACCUUUUGGAUGCAUCAUUACUUUUUUAGGUUAACUAUUGCAGGUACAUAACCAUAACCAAUCAAUGACAGUUUUUGUGCAUUGUAUAAGCACAGAUAUUCUGGAGAUCAUUGCUUAAAAAAUCUCUGUUGUGGACUCAUUUGUCACAACAACUUUGUAUUUGUGAGAUUUUUGUUUAUAUUCAGACAAUAAAGGCUAUUACGUAGUU
Ornithodoros turicata is the source of this 564-nucleotide long non-coding RNA. RefSeq lists it as uncharacterized. The record is from RefSeq and is a predicted model, not a curated record. The transcript has 4 exons. NCBI's taxonomy places the organism in Eukaryota, Metazoa, Arthropoda, Arachnida, Ixodida, Argasidae.